UUCCCGUGCAUGUCCGGGUAAUGACAUGUUCCUCCCUGUUGGACUGCCGGGCCUCUGUGCCCGGCCUUUUUU
Phaeobacter inhibens DSM 17395 is the source of this 72-nucleotide non-coding RNA. The record is from Rfam. NCBI's taxonomy places the organism in Bacteria, Pseudomonadati, Pseudomonadota, Alphaproteobacteria, Rhodobacterales, Roseobacteraceae.